UCUCUGGUAGUAUAUCGGUUAGUACACGCGCCUGUCAUGAAUGUUGCGCGCGAAAGCUGGGUUCGACUCCCAGCCAGAGAG
RNAcentral lists this transfer RNA (81 nucleotides) under Armillaria luteobubalina. RNAcentral describes it as "tRNA-Asp". It matches the Rfam family "tRNA". From Rfam's summary of the family: Transfer RNA (tRNA) molecules are approximately 80 nucleotides in length. Lineage: Eukaryota; Fungi; Basidiomycota; Agaricomycetes; Agaricales; Physalacriaceae. The record is from RNAcentral.